This 1185-nucleotide long non-coding RNA is filed under the name Heterocephalus glaber (naked mole-rat). RNAcentral describes it as "lncRNA (ENSHGLG00100033703.1)". Lineage: Eukaryota; Metazoa; Chordata; Mammalia; Rodentia; Bathyergidae. The record is from RNAcentral.
GCACAGGUCACACCGUGUGGCAAAUUCCGCGCGGGGCGGGGUAGUCUCGCGUGUGUGAAGCCUGCGUGUAUGCACCGUGUGUGUGCCUGUGUGCACUGUGCGUGCACUGUGUGUGUGGACCAUGUAUGUGCACGUGUGCACCGCGUGUGUGCACCCGUUGGAAACCUGGUGCUGAAACACGGCAGGGCUUAGGCUGGAGUCCUACCUUCAUCGUUUUCACUCGUCCUGUUUCAUCGGUGUCCUAGAACCCAGGCAUCGCUUGAGCACGCCCCUUCUCUACCCCUUCCUCCUGGUCUCCCAUCCCGGAAGCUGAGUGUCCUGUCCUGUUCUGGGUGCCGGCGAUGGAACCCGGGCCUCUUGCAUGCUGGCCACACGCUGGACCCUGAGCUGAGCUGCACCCCAGCCCUGGGCGGGUGUCUUGAGAACGCAGCACCCGGAGUCGGAAGGUAUGAGCUCACCGUGCUUCCUCCCAGCCCCCAUCCUCCUGGGUGCUGUUGGGACCGGGAACCCUGAGUGACAGCCCAGCCCUGCCUCUGGCACCGCGCCCUAACCCUAACUCCUAACCUGCACUGUGUCCUCCCCGCUUCCCUGUGGGGAACCGGCUGGCUGUGUAAGAGGGGAAGGCCAGUGGGAGGCGGACUGAAUGCUUUUUUUUUUUUUUUUAACAGCUCUGCUGUGUUGUAUUAACUCCUUAUCCUUGUACUGGAAACUGGUAGGAGUUCAGGGUUUUUGUUUUGUUUUUUUAAUCUGUCAAGGAAAAUACCAGCUUGAAAUAUGACAUGACUAGAAUAGCCUUAGCCUUCACUGGAUGAUUUCAAAUGUUUAUAUUCAGAUAGCAAACAAAGUAAUAACAUAGGCAAAAUAUUGGAAACAUUUGUAAUCACUCCAGUGAAUUGUCUGCUUCUCAUUGCUUGGAGAACAAUUCCGCUUUCCUUUUAAUAAUAACAGCCACAACCGGACUGGGGAUGUAGCUCAGUGGCAUAGCGCCUGCCUGGCAAGCGCAAGGCCCUAAGUUCAGUUCCAGUACCAAAAAAACACCCCACCUCAACCACAGCAGUAACUAUCAUUGAAUGUUACAAAAGCAAGAGUUUGUAUCCCUGACAUCAUUUGACUCUCCCUGCCAACCCAAGAUGUAGGUAUUGUUACCUGCAUUUUUAUAGUACAGAUAGGAAACCAAGCAGAGGG